GGCGCUUCCGCGUUCCUUCUGCGCCUGUGCGUUCUGCUCUCUGGCCGCCUUCUCCAAAGUUGGGCCAGUGUCGCGGGUCCUCUUGGCGCUCUGGUAGCAUCUCUGACAUGGAGGCACUGCUCUCCUUCAGGGAUGUGGCCAUUGAUUUCUCUGCAGAGGAGUGUGAAUGCCUGGACCUUGCUCAGUGGAAUCUGUACAGGGAUGUGAUGCUGGAGAAUUACAGCAACCUUGUAUUCCUGGGUCUAGCUUUUUCUAAGCCAUAUUUGGUGACAUUUCUCGAGCAAAGAAAAGAGCCAUGGAAUGUGAAGGGACCAGCCCCAGUUGCUGUACACCCAGAAAUAAAACCUUAUAAAUUUAAAGAAUGUGGCAAGACCUUUCCUUGGAAUUCACUUCUUAUCCAACACCAUAAAACUCACCCUGGAGAAAAGCUUUACAAAUGUGGUGAAUGUGGCAAGGCCUUUAAUGUUCGCUCAACACUUUAUAAACACCAGAGAAUUCAUACUGGAGAGAAACCCUACAAAUGCAAAGAAUGUGGCAAAGGUUUUACAUGUUCUUCAAGCCUUAACCAACACCACAGAAUUCAUACUGGAGAGAAACCCUACAAAUGUCAAUGUGGCAAAGCCUUUAAUAAUUCUUCAGCUCUCACUCAGCACCAAAGAAUUCAUACUGGAGAAAGACCAUACAAGUGUGAAGAAUGUGGCAAAGCCUUUAAUAAUUGCUCAGCCCGAACGCGACACCAAAGAAUUCAUACUGGAGAGAGACCCUACAGAUGUGCAGCUUGUGGCAAGACCUUCAAUUUUCCCACAUCACUUUCUCAACAUCAGAGAAUUCAUACUGGAGAGAAACCCUACAAAUGUGAAGAAUGUGGCAAAGCCUUUAACUGUUCUUCACAUCUUAAACAACACCGAAUUAUUCAUACUGGAAAGAAACCCUACAAAUGUAAAGAAUGUGACAAAGCUUUUAACUGUUCUUCAAGUCUUAACCAACACCGUAGAAUUCACACUGGUGAGAAACGCUACAUAUGUGAGGAAUGCGGCAAAGCCUUUAAUAAUUGUUCAGCUCUUACUCAACACCAAAGAAUCCAUAGUGGAGAGAAACCCUUCAAGUGUGAAGAAUGUGGCAAAGCCUUUUAUAAUUGCUCGGCCCUCUCUCGACACCACAAGAUUCACACUGGAGAAAAACCCUUCAAAUGUGCAGAUUGUGGCAAAGCUUUUAUUUUUCGUUCAUCACUUUCUCAGCACCAGAGAAUUCACACUGGAGAGAAACCCUACAAAUGCAAAGAAUGUGGGAAAGCCUUUAACUGUUCUUCACACCUUAACCAACAUGGAAGAAUUCACAGUGGAGAGAAACCUUAUAAAUGUGAAGAGUGUGGCCAGACGUUUAUCUGUUCAUCAUACCUACAUAAGCAUCAGAAGAUUCAUACUAUUGAGAAACUCUAUGAAUGCAAAGAAUGUGGUAAAACCUUUAGCUGUUCUUCAUACCUUAAAUAUCACCAGAGAUUUCAUACUGGGGGGAAAUCUUAUACAUGCAAAGAAUGUGACAAAACCUUUAGGUCCUCUUCAUACCUUAGGAAUCAUCAGAGAUUUCACACUGGAGAGAAACCCUACACAUGCAAAGACUGUGGCAAAGCCUUUGUUAAUUCUUCAAGCCUUCUUGUACACCAAAGAAUUCAUACUGGAGAGAAACCAUACAAGUGCAAAGAAUGUGGCAAGGCUUUUAGGUGUUCUUCUUAUUUUAAGUAUCACCAGAGACUUCAUACUGGAGAGAAACCCUAUACAUGCAAAGAAUGUGGCAAAGCCUUUGCUAAAUCUUCAUGUCUUAUUCUACACCAAAGAAUUCAUACCGGGGAAAAACCCUACAAAUGUGCGGAGUGUGGCCAGGCCUUUAUCUGUUCUUCAUACCUGAGGAAGCAUCAGCGAAUCCAUACUGGUGAGAAACCUUAUACAUGUGAAGAAUGUGGCAAAGCUUUUAGUAUUUACUCAACCUUCAUUCAACACCAGAGAAUUCAUACUGGAGAAAAACCUUACAAAUGCAAGGAAUGUGACAAAGCAUUUAAUAAUCAUUCAGCUCUUAUAAAGCAUCAAAGAAUUCAUACUGGAGAGAAGCCCUACACAUGUAAAGAAUGUAAUAAAGCCUUUAAUAAUAGCUCAAGCCUUAUUCGACAUCAACGAAUUCAUACUGGAAUUGAAACCCUAGAAGUUCAAGGAAUGUGGCAAGGCCUUUAAUAAUAGUUCAACUCUUAGCCCCCCAAACUCACAGUAGUAAGUAAAAUGGAAAAAAAGGUGACAAAUAAGUGUUUUAUACAUAUACAAGUGUAAAAAUUCACGCAUGAAAGAAACCCUACAAGUUUAAAUAGUGUUGCAAGUCUGUUAGCGCUUCUUCUUAUCUUGAUAGCAGAGGAUUUGUACUGGGGAGCCCUAAAAAUAUAUCAGGGAUUUUAAUGAACGUUCACUCCUCAUCACUGAAUUCAUGCUUCAUGGAAAUCUUAGCACUUACUGACUUUGGAAUGACCUCUGUCCAAUAUGUGUGAGCAAAAUAGUUAUGCCAGAACAAAUGAGGGGCAUGGAGUUCCAAAGAGAAGAGUGAAGACACAAGAAAGGGAAUAUGCUAAGAACAUCUAAGAGCCAAGGCUUUGCUGCCACUGGAAGACAGGUACCUGCUGAACUUCUAGAAAGCCAUUCUACUUAAGCAGGAACAAUGCUCCACCCAUGACCUCCUCAAUCCCCGAUACCUUUCUUCCCUCCCUCACCACCAUCACCACUACCACCCCCACCUACACACACACACACACACACACACACACACACACACACACACACACACUCGUGGUCUUGUUUAAAUUCUCAUGUUGUAAAUCAGCAAUCUGUAUUGUGUCAUUGCUAAUUAACACAACAAUGCCUAAUUAUUAGUACCCAGUAUAAAAAAAUUAAAUAUUAAGGGAAGCCCAAGUUCACAAGUACAGUAAAAUUUUAUGUUAAAUAUUUAUUGAAUAUUUACAUUGCAAUUACAGAAAUAUCAUCUAGGGGCAUUAUAACUAUGACACUUUUUUACUUUAUUAAGUACAGUCUGCCUGCAAUUCAAGGAAAUUACAUCUUAAACUGCCUUUCACUGUAGGGUAUUAUUAGCCACACUGUGGAAUGAUAUAAUUGAAGAGCUUUAUUCUGCUAUACCCAAGAUACAUAAUAUCAUAUCAAAGUAAGUAAAAUAGAACUUCAUUUUAGUAACCACUCUUGUCACAAAGCACCUUUCUGUGGUUCAUGUUGCUUUGGACUGGAGUUUGUAACCAAACAGAAGACCACCCCUUUUCCCAAAGCAAUCUCUCCCCAACACCACGUAUUUGCAUUUAUGUACCAAAACUAUUGUUAAUCCAAACAAGAUAGCAGCAAAUGGGUUGUAUUGACUGUCAAGCACUUAUACCUAGUUGACCAGUAAAGUGGAAUAGCUUUUUGUCCUCUAGUCAUUAUCUUCCUUCCUUGACCUGCCAUUGUCCCACAUGACCUCCACAUGUGCACCAGAGAGCAUAACUGCACUGACAUACACUAAUGCGCGCACACACACACACACACACACACACACACACACACACACACACACAUGCACCACAGACACUUCAAAAAAGAAAAAAAAAUGUGAGCUGAGUGCCAGCACUUUGAUUAAAUAAAUAUUUUCAUCUAUAUGGUCUUAUUCAAACUGUUUUAUUUGUCAUUUCCCUCCAUGAUGUCUAUUAGUGAAUUUUUAUGGUCCGCUCCCUUUGGGGGAGAUUAGUAAAAGCUUUACCCAGAAGACAGCCUAUUUGUAGGAUGUGUCCUUAAGAAGGAAAUCUGUGCUGCCCAAGCAAACAAUUUUAGGUAAGGAAGCCCCUGGCAAGAGCUCAUGACACAUCUCUGCAUGUACCAUUCAUUAUAUUGUUUGGUAUUACUGUCAUCAAAUGUGAAUAAGCCAUGCAUCAUGACACUUAUUUUACAAGGUACUCAGAAAAGGAGAUCACACUUUAUAGACUUCCUGGCUCUUGUGGUUUAUUGGGUCAUUUUGUUUACAGUGAUAUAUGUUUAUAAUAACAACCCUAAUAAUUUAAAUUUUCACUGUAGACUUCAGUUUUCAACUUAAGCAGGUGAAAGGCAAUUAAUGUUACUGUAAGAAGUUCCAAGAAAAUUAAUGUUACUAUAAGAAGUUCCUGAGACAAUCAAUUAGAAAAAAAGUGGGUAGAUAGCUGGCAAUUUCAGAAUUUCCAGUUUAUGUUCAGCUGGUCCCAUUGCUUUGUACCUUUGGGGAGGUACCCUACUAUGGUGGGAAUGGAUAUCAUUGAAACUACUUACCACAUGGCCAUGGAGGAGAGAUGGUUCAGUUUACCUAUAUGCUUUAAGGAUAUAGUCUCCCAAACCUAGAGCUCCCUCUGUGUCAAUGCUCCACCCACUACCUCCUCAAACUCCUCAAACUAUAAACUCAAACUAAGGCUUUCAUAAUCUCACAAUAUUGCCAUGGUGAAGCCCAGGCCUUUAUUACACAGAUGUUCACUGGGACUGUGAUCCAAGGUAUAGAAAUCACAUACUAAUAAGCAGAAAGAAACUGGGCAAAAUGUAAAUCAGUGCCUUCCUAUAAUUAUUAGGAGACUGAACACAUGGGACAAAACACAUUGAACUUAGAGGAAGACAUUUCCAGGGUCUAAUAGGAGCUGAGCACUUGCCUCCUGGGAAGUUGCUAUCAUAUAUCAUACAAGUGGGGCUCAAGAUUCAGCCACAACAUAUUUGAUUACAAUCUCCCUAUCACUCUCCAACCCAUUCACUCUCUCUGUUCUACUCUCCAUAUCUUGAGUCCACAUCUAAGUGACAUCAUGUAGUAUUUUAUCUUUUUUUGUGUCAAAGACACAAAAGGUGAGGGGCGUGGUUUUCAUUCUCUAGGUUCACCCAUAGGUUUUAUGAUUUUUCCUGAAGAAAAUGCAAACAAAUAUCUAUUCACCACAGAAAGGGCACUAAUGGCCAAAGAAAAGAUUCCAUCAAAGCCACAUGUGUUGAGUCAGUGGAUUUGUGGGGCUACUUAUAGAAGCACGACUGACUUGAAGGCAGCCACAUCACUGAGAAGCCCAGCCUAGCAUGGGUAACAAAACCCUGGUACCCUCUGCCCAGCUUGCCAGCAACCUCCUCAGAGAUUUCGGUCACCCAACAACUAUUCAGUGCCUUUGUCACCGCGGGGCCUCUGUGAAAUUCAUAACUUUAGGAGCUUUCUGAGUCACCUGAACUUCACUUCCUAAGAACUGUGAACUUCCACCCUCUCUCCAGGAGAGAGUGUUUCAAUUCACUUCAGAUGAAAUAGUGACAACGCAAGGUAACAGCUGUGUUCCCUCUUUCUUUCUUUCUUUCUUUCUUUCUUUCUUUCUUUCUUUCUUUCUUUCUUUCUUUCUUU
Molecule: non-coding RNA, 5400 nt
Organism: Peromyscus maniculatus bairdii (prairie deer mouse)
Lineage: Eukaryota; Metazoa; Chordata; Mammalia; Rodentia; Cricetidae
Source: RefSeq, a predicted model, not a curated record